UAGGGAAUUUUGCGCAAUGGACGAAAGUCUGACGCAGCAACGCCAUAUGUGGGACGACGCUUUUCGGAGUGUAAACCACUGUCGUCAGGGAAUAAUGUGCAGCGUGAGUUGCAUUGAAUGUACCUGGAGAGGAAGCCCCGGCUAACUUCGUGCCAGCAGCCGCGGUAAUACGAGGGGGGCAAGUGUUGUUCGGAAUCACUGGGCGUAAAGGGGGCGUAGGCGGGAAGAUAAGUCAGGUGUUUAAUUCUAGGGCCCAACCCUGGGUGUGCACUUGAAACUGUUUUUCUUGAAUAGGACAGAGGUGGAUAGAAUUCCUGGUGUAGCGGUGGAAUGCGUAGAUAUCAGGAAGAAUACCAGAGGCGAAGGCGGUCCACUGGGUCCAUAUUGACGCUGAGGCCCGAAAGUGUGGGGAGCAAACAGG
This 421-nucleotide ribosomal RNA is filed under the name uncultured bacterium. RNAcentral describes it as "bacterial SSU rRNA". It matches the Rfam family "Bacterial small subunit ribosomal RNA", at positions 355 to 776 of the family's 1533-position model. The record is from RNAcentral.